GCGACCGGUGGACUAUAGAUCGCUCCAAGGAGGAUUAGGGUAAAUCGUAGCACUAUAUAGGGUGUUCAAGGAAUACCAGAAAUCUCUCAACAACGGGCUCUUUAGUGUUUCGUACUUCGCGAACGAGGACGUCUUUCUUAUUAACUCAUUCGUUACAAAUGCCACAUGAAGAAAAUCAGGAGCGACGUCUCGCUUCCGACAUCCAUAAUUCUAUUGUAUAUAAUCGCGAUGCCUGAGCCGGAGCCUUAACGAAAGCGACAAUAAUCUUUAAUCUGGAAACGCGAUAUUUGAGUGUGGCAUAAUCGGAUUUGCAGAAUGUUGACGCGUAUACUGUAAUAAAACAUCGGUGUCUCCGUUAUGGAGUACCAGCGACGACGACGUCUUCAUUCCGCGCGUUAGGAGUGCGAGAAUGCGGCAAAAGGCGAUUCUAUCACUCGGCAGAAGUAGUACGAGCAAAACUCGCGUCAUGAAAAAAACUGAGAAAAAUUGCACGCAAAAUUCGAGCGUCUUGAACGAGCAUUUCUCAAAUAGCAUCAUUUAAUAUUUUUUUCUGAGGUAGUCUGAUUUAAAACGUU
Temnothorax curvispinosus is the source of this 575-nucleotide long non-coding RNA. RefSeq lists it as uncharacterized. The record is from RefSeq and is a predicted model, not a curated record. The transcript has 3 exons. Lineage: Eukaryota; Metazoa; Arthropoda; Insecta; Hymenoptera; Formicidae.